This 274-nucleotide ribosomal RNA is filed under the name uncultured bacterium. Its description in RNAcentral is "partial 16S ribosomal RNA". It matches the Rfam family "Bacterial small subunit ribosomal RNA", at positions 523 to 796 of the family's 1533-position model. The record is from RNAcentral.
AUACGGAGGGUGCAAGCGUUGUUCGGAAUUAUUGGGCGUAAAGAGCAUGUAGGCGGACUGUUAAGUCUGGUGUGAAAGCCCGGGGCUCAACCCCGGAAGUGCAUUGGAUACUGGCAGUCUUGAGUAUGGGAGAGGAAAGUGGAAUUCCGAGUGUAGGAGUGAAAUCCGUAGAUAUUCGGAGGAACACCAGUGGCGAAGGCGGCUUUCUGGACCAAUACUGACGCUGAGAUGCGAAAGCGUGGGGAGCGAACAGGAUUAGAAACCCUUGUAGUCC